RNAcentral lists this long non-coding RNA (485 nucleotides) under Chrysemys picta bellii (western painted turtle). RNAcentral describes it as "lncRNA (ENSCPBG00000004085.1)". The record is from RNAcentral. Lineage: Eukaryota; Metazoa; Chordata; Testudines; Emydidae.
UGCUGGGGGGUGGAAUGGGGCAGCCCCUCUUUGCUGUGCAGGGCAGGGGGCUCACGGUGUCCGUCUCUCCCUCCCAGAUGCACAGAGGGUCCUUGCCAAGCCCAACCACACCCUGCAGGACACUGGGCUGGCAGUUCGACCAGCUGCCCCACGGGAUUAUGGGAAGGUGCUUCUCCGGGGCCUGAACCCCCAAACCGACUGCAGCCUCCUGGAGCUCUAUGUGGAGUAUGUGCUGAACUGUGAGAGCCGGCGAUACACCAUCCACCGCAGCCCAGCCGGGGACCAAGCCCUGGUGCAGCUGCCAGAGCCGCUCAGUGACUCAGAGCUCCUGGGCGUGGAGGAGCGUGUGCGCCGGCGGCCGCUGGACGGGGGGCCGCUGUCCGUGGAGUGGGUGCAGCAGACAGACAGUGUGCUGGUGCAGAGCCGGGGCGCCGGGCUGAGCAAGGACCUGCUGGAGCUCUACUUUGAGAACAAGCGGAGCGGUG